UGGGAUUUGUUGGGAGAGCGUUUUAGGAAAGAUGGGUUAAAAACAAAAAAAGGUUGGUGUGAAACUGGAAUAGUGCAUGAGGCUAAUUAAUCAUCUCCCUGAAUGUACCAGCAGAGAAGCAUGGUGGCACAGCGUCGGAGGAUGUAAAUUCUGGCACGUUGCUCCUUCACCAAGGAAGCACACUUCCGUGUGAAGCCAUGGCCCUUUAUCUUUGAACGGCCACAUGCAUUAUUACUGUUGAACUGUUGCUUUAGGUCAGCCAUGGAUGUUGUAUAAUUGAGGAUUUUCAAAGAAAAAAUGGAAAGCCAAGGGGAAAAAAAGCUCACAGUGUGGGAGCUAGACCCUGAGUGGGGCAAAGUAGAGGCCUCAUGUAUUUAUAGUAUACCAAGAAAAAGGGUUGACUAGGUUUGGAGAGGGAGGGGGGUUGAACAUGGUCAGUUUCCAAAAUUGAGGGAUCUAAAU
This 462-nucleotide long non-coding RNA is filed under the name Actinidia chinensis (golden kiwifruit). RNAcentral describes it as "long non-coding RNA (ACHI_LNC004513)". Lineage: Eukaryota; Viridiplantae; Streptophyta; Magnoliopsida; Ericales; Actinidiaceae. The record is from RNAcentral.